RNAcentral lists this long non-coding RNA (287 nucleotides) under Gossypium barbadense (sea-island cotton). RNAcentral describes it as "long non-coding RNA (GBAR_LNC021262)". Lineage: Eukaryota; Viridiplantae; Streptophyta; Magnoliopsida; Malvales; Malvaceae. The record is from RNAcentral.
GACGGUAUGGGCGUCGUGGAGGCUGGCGCGGAGCAGAGGCGUGCGAGGGGUUGGGCAGAGGCUGGAGCGGCGCGCCCUAGGCAUGCUGCGCCUAGGGUUUUCUGCUGCAAACAUUUUGUUUUUUUUUAUUUGGGCUAGGGUUUCUGUUAUUGGGCUAGGAUUUGGGUAGUGGGUUGAAUUUUGGGUUUGUUUUAUUGGUAUGGGCCCGGGUAUUUUAUUUUCUGAUUUAGGCCAUAUUGGCCUGCUUUAAUGGACUGUGGCAUUUUAUUUAUUUUGUUUUAUUUUUG